AACGAACGCUGGCGGCAUGCCUAACACAUGCAAGUCGAACGAGACCUUCGGGUCUAGUGGCGCACGGGUGCGUAACGCGUGGGAACCUGCCCUUAGGUUCGGAAUAACUCCCCGACAGGGGUGCUAAUACCGGAUAAUGUCUUCGGACCAAAGAUUUAUCGCCUUUGGAUGGGCCCGCGUUGGAUUAGCUAGUUGGUAGGGUAAAAGCCUACCAAGGCGACGAUCCAUAGCUGGUCUGAGAGGAUGAUCAGCCACACUGGGACUGAGACACGGCCCAGACUCCUACGGGAGGGAGCAGUGGGGAAUAGUGGAACAUGGGCUAAAGGCUGAUCCAGCAAUGACGCGUGAGUGAUGAAGGCCGUAGGGUUGUAAAGCUCUUUUACCCGGGAUGAUAAUGACAGUACCGGGAGAAUAAGCUCCGGCUAACUCCGUG
This 433-nucleotide ribosomal RNA is filed under the name uncultured bacterium. RNAcentral's name for it is "partial 16S ribosomal RNA". It matches the Rfam family "Bacterial small subunit ribosomal RNA", at positions 29 to 507 of the family's 1533-position model. The record is from RNAcentral.